UACGUAGGCAGCAAGCGUUGUUCGGAGUUACUGGGCGUAAAGGGUGCGUAGGCGGCUUUUUAAGUCUGGUGUGAAAUCUCCCGGCUCAACUGGGAGGGUGCGCCGGAUACUGAGGGGCUAGAGUGUGGGAGAGGAAAGUGGAAUUCCUGGUGUAGCGGUGAAAUGCGUAGAUAUCAUUUGGAACGCCAACGGAGAAAGCAGGUAGCUGGGGGUGUGCUGACGCUGAGACACGAAAGCCAGGGGAGCGAACGGG
This 253-nucleotide ribosomal RNA is filed under the name uncultured bacterium. RNAcentral's name for it is "partial 16S ribosomal RNA". It matches the Rfam family "Bacterial small subunit ribosomal RNA", at positions 524 to 776 of the family's 1533-position model. The record is from RNAcentral.